Molecule: long non-coding RNA, 544 nt
Filed under: Gossypium barbadense (sea-island cotton)
Lineage: Eukaryota; Viridiplantae; Streptophyta; Magnoliopsida; Malvales; Malvaceae
Description: long non-coding RNA (GBAR_LNC019023)
Source: RNAcentral
AAACCAAUGCAAAAUAGUUGUCCAAGAACAAAAAAUCAGCAACAACAAAAUCAAGUAGAAAAUCCAAAGCAAACUCAUGAAAACCAAACACAAAAACAACAAGAAACAUCUUCCAAACCCAGCGAAAAUAGAAAACCCAAAACAGCCAAAAACCUCCAUAGCUGGCAAGCAGAGACACCAAAUAGGAGACUGGGUUGAGAUUCCUCAAGUAAGACCACAUUUCUCAACCAAGAACUUUGAGAGAAGAGAGGAGGGAACUACGGUGGUUGAUGAAAACGACGAUCCAGAUUGGCUAGUUCCAAAACCUUAAGCGAAGCAUCCUCAACCCAAAAAGAAUCUUCUGAGUGUUUCAUACCUUCAAAUGCCAUCGCAUGCGCAGCAGCAUUACCUUCUCUCGCUACGAAUUCGAAUCAACAGGAUGUGAAUCCUUUCAACAUGUUCUGUACAUUCCAUAGAAACUAAAUUCUCAUAACACAUUAUUAGAAAUUUUUAACACUUAAUAAUUAAGACUCAUUAAACCAUAACUUUAUAAGACUUAUUUCCA